UUUCAUCAAUCUUGAGGUCUAUGAGUAUAAAUUAUAAUCAUAAUUGCAUCAACUUAUAGUUCUCAUGUUGUUUUUAACUUUUAACUAUGAAUUUCUAACAUUUCAUUUUGUUUGUGUUCACAGUUGCUUGCUUGGAUUUUUUACUUCAACACUAUUUUACAUUGCUUCUGCGUAUGGAAUUGGGAUGAUGUAUUCACUUUAUCUCCCCAAACCUUCAUACACUCUUAACAUAUUUUUCAUCUUGUGGAUUGCAGUUUUGCUUUUAGUUAUGCUUGCCAUAUCCUUACAUUCAAAGGUUUUGGAGUUGGGGAUGAAGUUUCGAACUGUAGAUGAUAUGAGUGCAAUACUUGCUGGAAGAGAAUGGGUUGCGGAAUGUGGUGCACCUGUCAAGCAUGCAUCUUGAAGGAAAGGUAACAACUAGUAUAUUCUUAUUUUUAGACUAGACUGUGUAUGCAUGCUAUAUUUUGUCAUUUAUAUUAUAUGUUCAUAGCCUAUAAUGAAUUUGAAUAUUAUAUGAACGUUGAAAACUGUAUUAAGAUAUCUGUUAGACUUGUGGUUAACAAAUUAGAAUAAUAUAGUAGUCUUUAUGCAUAAUGGAACUCCUUAUCUUCCACGAGCAAACUAAUGCCACAGUGCACUCAUCCUUGUAAUCUAUACCUCUAAUUAAGAGAAUUCUUAAAUCGGGCCACUGGUUGGUAUUUGGUCACCAUUGGGUAGGAUGAAGAAUAUGGGUCUGCACCAACCCACAGAUUGUGGCCUAUAGACCCACCACCACUGCAUCCUGCUGAUAUGGAGCAGUCCUGGUUGGAAGAAACAAGUAAAAUGAGAGAGAGACUCUUACCCUCUAGUGUAAAAUGGAGCAGUCCUGCUGAUAUGAAGUUUAUUAAACCUUACCCUCUAGUGUUACUGCAACAACAAACAACAAAACUAAAAGGCUUCUUUUAAUAGCUGUUUUGAAGGAUUCAAGUGAAGAAAAUGUUUAGGUUGUCUCUCCUUUUAUAAUUGUUUGGAGAGUAAGUUUUAUUUUAACGAUGCAUAUAAACUACGCUAGAUGUACAAAUUUCAUUUUGGCUUUUUGCCAAAGAAGGAAAUUGUAAAGGUUGAGAAUAAAGAACACGGAAAAGCCAGUGCUGCAGCAAGUCUGGUAUGUUCCCCUCCCCUUUCAGUCUAUUUGCUGGUCCAAGUUUCUUUAUUGCUGGAUUAUCACCAUUUUUCCUUAUAGGGUAUGAUUCUGCUUUGGGAUGUUGAUUCUGGACUUGCCCAACUUGACUAGUAUUUCCACAGUAAUGACAACCAUGUCAUAGCCGGUGCAUUGUUGGGAGUUGGUAUUGUGAACUGCGGUAUCAAGAAUGACUGUGAUCGUGCAUUGGCACUUCUUGCUGAUUAUAUAGAUACAGAGGAUUCUUCUGUCAGAAUCGGUGCAAUAAUGGGUCUGGGCCAUGCUUAUGCUGGUGCCCAAAAUGAGCAGGUGAGGUUCCUUGCAUUUUUAACUGGUGGUUUCUUGGUAGGCCAUGGAAACAAUACUAUGUCUGAUUCAAGAGGCACAUCAGUGGAAUCAUUCUGUCUAUUCUACCAUAGAUUGUUAAUU
Non-coding RNA from Camellia sinensis, 1588 nucleotides. Lineage: Eukaryota; Viridiplantae; Streptophyta; Magnoliopsida; Ericales; Theaceae. The record is from RefSeq and is a predicted model, not a curated record.